UGGGGAAUAUUGGACAAUGGGCGCAAGCCUGAUCCAGCCAUGCCGCGUGAGUGAUGAAGGCCCUAGGGUUGUAAAGCUCUUUUGUGCGGGAAGAUAAUGACUGUACCGCAAGAAUAAGCCCCGGCUAACUUCGUGCCAGCAGCCGCGGUAAUACGAAGGGGGCUAGCGUUGCUCGGAAUCACUGGGCGUAAAGGGUGCGUAGGCGGGUCUUUAAGUCAGGGGUGAAAUCCUGGAGCUCAACUCCAGAACUGCCUUUGAUACUGAAGAUCUUGAGUUCGGGAGAGGUGAGUGGAACUGCGAGUGUAGAGGUGAAAUUCGUAGAUAUUCGCAAGAACACCAGUGGCGAAGGCGGCUCACUGACCCGAUACUGACGCUGAGGCACGAAAGCGUGGGGAGCAAACA
Molecule: ribosomal RNA, 402 nt
Filed under: uncultured bacterium
Lineage: Bacteria
Description: bacterial SSU rRNA
Rfam family: Bacterial small subunit ribosomal RNA
Source: RNAcentral